Molecule: ribosomal RNA, 497 nt
Filed under: uncultured bacterium
Lineage: Bacteria
Description: partial 16S ribosomal RNA
Rfam family: Bacterial small subunit ribosomal RNA
Source: RNAcentral
GAUGAACGCUGGCGGCGUGCCUAAUACAUGCAAGUCGAGCGAACGGACGAGAAGCUUGCUUCUCUGAUGUUAGCGGCGGACGGGUGAGUAACACGUGGAUAACCUACCUAUAAGACUGGGAUAACUUCGGGAAACCGGAGCUAAUACCGGAUAAUAUUUUGAACCGCAUGGUUCAAAAGUGAAAGACGGUCUUGCUGUCACUUAUAGAUGGAUCCGCGCUGCAUUAGCUAGUUGGUAAGGUAACGGCUUACCAAGGCAACGAUGCAUAGCCGACCUGAGAGGGUGGUUGGGCCACCCGGAACCGGGACCAGGUCCCGACUUCCAACGGAAGCCACCAUAGGGGAAUCUUCGGCAUGGGGCAAAGGCCUGACGGGGCAACGCGGCUGAAUUAAGAAGGGUCUCCGAUUCGUAAAACCCUUUAUUAGGGAAGAAACUUAUUGGAAGGAACCGUUGCAAUCCUGACGGGAACCAAUUCGAAAGGCACGGCUAACUACGUG